RNAcentral lists this ribosomal RNA (1435 nucleotides) under uncultured organism. RNAcentral describes it as "SSU rRNA". It matches the Rfam family "Bacterial small subunit ribosomal RNA". The record is from RNAcentral.
UUAACACAUGCAAGUCGAGGGGCAGCAUUUUAGUUUGCUUGCAAACUGAAGAUGGCGACCGGCGCACGGGUGAGUAACACGUAUCCAACCUGCCGAUAACUCCGGGAUAGCCUUUCGAAAGAAAGAUUAAUACCGGAUAGCAUACGAAUAUCGCAUGAUAUUUUUAUUAAAGAAUUUCGGUUAUCGAUGGGGAUGCGUUCCAUUAGUUUGUUGGCGGGGUAACGGCCCACCAAGACUACGAUGGAUGGGGGUUCUGAGAGGAAGGUCCCCCACAUUGGAACUGAGACACGGUCCAAACUCCUACGGGAGGCAGCAGUGAGGAAUAUUGGUCAAUGGGCGCGAGCCUGAACCAGCCAAGUAGCGUGAAGGAUGAAGGCUCUAUGGGUCGUAAACUUCUUUUAUAUGGGAAUAAAGUUUUCCACGUGUGGAAUUUUGUAUGUACCAUAUGAAUAAGGAUCGGCUAACUCCGUGCCAGCAGCCGCGGUAAUACGGAGGAUCCGAGCGUUAUCCGGAUUUAUUGGGUUUAAAGGGAGCGUAGGUGGAUUGUUAAGUCAGUUGUGAAAGUUUGCGGCUCAACCGUAAAAUUGCAGUUGAAACUGGCAGUCUUGAGUACAGUAGAGGUGGGCGGAAUUCGUGGUGUAGCGGUGAAAUGCUUAGAUAUCACGAAGAACUCCGAUUGCGAAGGCAGCUCACUAGACUGUCACUGACACUGAUGCUCGAAAGUGUGGGUAUCAAACAGGAUUAGAUACCCUGGUAGUCCACACAGUAAACGAUGAAUACUCGCUGUUUGCGAUAUACAGUAAGCGGCCAAGCGAAGGCAUUAAGUAUUCCACCUGGGGAGUACGCCGGCAACGGUGAAACUCAAAGGAAUUGACGGGGGCCCGCACAAGCGGAGGAACAUGUGGUUUAAUUCGAUGAUACGCGAGGAACCUUACCCGGGCUUAAAUUGCAACAGAAUAUAUUGGAAACAGUAUAGCCGUAAGGCUGUUGUGAAGGUGCUGCAUGGUUGUCGUCAGCUCGUGCCGUGAGGUGUCGGCUUAAGUGCCAUAACGAGCGCAACCCUUAUCUUUAGUUACUAACAGGUCAUGCUGAGGACUCUAGAGAGACUGCCGUCGUAAGAUGUGAGGAAGGUGGGGAUGACGUCAAAUCAGCACGGCCCUUACGUCCGGGGCUACACACGUGUUACAAUGGGGGGUACAGAAGGCGGCUACCUGGAGACAGGAUGCUAAUCCCAAAAACCUCUCUCAGUUCGGAUCGAAGUCUGCAACCCGACUUCGUGAAGCUGGAUUCGCUAGUAAUCGCGCAUCAGCCAUGGCGCGGUGAAUACGUUCCCGGGCCUUGUACACACCGCCCGUCAAGCCAUGAAAGCCGGGGGUACCUGAAGUACGUAACCGCAAGGAGCGUCCUAGGGUAAAACUGGUAAUUGGGGCUAAGU